GCGAAAGUGGCGGAACUGGUAGACGCACUACUUUGAGGGGGUAGCGGGGUUUCCCCGUGGGGGUUCGAGUCCCCCCUUUCGCA
RNAcentral lists this transfer RNA (83 nucleotides) under Estrella lausannensis. It matches the Rfam family "tRNA". Rfam says of the family: Transfer RNA (tRNA) molecules are approximately 80 nucleotides in length. Their secondary structure includes four short double-helical elements and three loops (D, anti-codon, and T loops). Further hydrogen bonds mediate the characteristic L-shaped molecular structure. tRNAs have two regions of fundamental functional importance: the anti-codon, which is responsible for specific mRNA codon recognition, and the 3' end, to which the tRNAs corresponding amino acid is attached (by aminoacyl-tRNA synthetases). tRNAs cope with the degeneracy of the genetic code in two manners: having more than one tRNA (with a specific anti-codon) for a particular amino acid; and 'wobble' base-pairing, i.e. permitting non-standard base-pairing at the 3rd anti-codon position. Lineage: Bacteria; Pseudomonadati; Chlamydiota; Chlamydiia; Parachlamydiales; Candidatus Criblamydiaceae. The record is from Rfam by way of RNAcentral.